AGCCAUUCAGCUUCAGCAUCAACCAUGUUCUUUCUAUCUCUGCUGCUGCUGCUGACAGCUGGAUCCUGUGUGUACUGCAUUGAUCUGAUCCAACCAGACUCUAAAGUUGUGCAGCCUGGACAGUCACUGACCAUUACCUGUCGGCCUUCAGGUUAUUCUGUGUCUGAUAGCAUCUAUGCAACAGGAUGGAUCAGACAUUGUGAAGGAAAACCAAUGGAAUGGAUUUUUCAUAUGUGGGGUGGUGGAGGCUUAACCAAGAAUGAUGCCCUGAAGAACAAGUUCAGCUGCAGCAGAGACACUUCUGCUGGAACAGUAACAAUAACAGGACAGAAUMUGCAGCCUGAAGAUGCAGCUGUUUAUUACUGUGUCAGAUGA
Poecilia reticulata (guppy) is the source of this 375-nucleotide non-coding RNA. The record is from the annotation of a RefSeq genome assembly. NCBI's taxonomy places the organism in Eukaryota, Metazoa, Chordata, Actinopteri, Cyprinodontiformes, Poeciliidae.